AUGCGAUACACAGUAUGCGGCCAAGCGAAAGCGUUAAGCAUCCCACCUGGGGAGUACGCCGGCAACGGUGAAACUCAAAGGAAUUGACGGGGGCCCGCACAAGCGGAGGAACAUGUGGUUUAAUUCGAUGAUACGCGAGGAACCUUACCCGGGCUUGAACUGCACAGGAAGGAGACAGAGAUGUUGACGCCCUUCGGGGCCUGUGUGGAGGUGCUGCAUGGUUGUCGUCAGCUCGUGCCGUGAGGUGUCGGCUUAAGUGCCAUAACGAGCGCAACCCCUUUCGCCAGUUGCCAUCAGGUGAUGCUGGGCACUCCGGCGACACUGCCACCGC
This 331-nucleotide ribosomal RNA is filed under the name uncultured bacterium. RNAcentral's name for it is "bacterial SSU rRNA". It matches the Rfam family "Bacterial small subunit ribosomal RNA", at positions 824 to 1158 of the family's 1533-position model. The record is from RNAcentral.